UGAAUACACGACCGGCGCACGGGUGAGUAACACGUUUGCAACCUUCCUCUAACUGGAGAAUAGCCCGAAGAAAUUCGGAUUAAUACUCCAUAAAGUCAAUUUAAGGCAUCUUUUAUUGAUUAAAGCUCCGGCGGUUAGAGAUGGGCAUGCGUGUCAUUAGCUAGUUGGUGAGGUAACGGCUCACCAAGGCCACGAUGACUAGGGGGUCUGAGAGGAUGAUCCCCCACACUGGUACUGAGACACGGACCAGACUCCUACGGGAGGCAGCAGUGAGGAAUAUUGGGCAAUGGACGCAAGUCUGACCCAGCCAUGCCGCGUGCAGGAUGACUGCCCUAUGGGUUGUAAACUGCUUUUGUUUGGGAAGAAACCCCCGAUCGUGAUCNGGGGCUGACGGCACCAUACGAAUAAGCAUCGGCUAACUCCGUGCCAGCAGCCACGGUAAUACGGAGGAUGCAAGCGUUAUCCGGAUUCAUUGGGUUUAAAGGGUGCGCAGGCGGAAUAUUAAGUCAGUGGUGAAAUCCUGCAGCUUAACUGUAGAACUGCCAUUGAUACUGAUAUUCUUGAAUAUAGUUGAGGUGGGCGGAAUGUGUAAUGUAGCGGUGAAAUGCUUAGAUAUUACACAGAACACCAAUUGCGAAGGCAGCUCACUAAACUAAUAUUGACGCUGAGGCACGAAAGCGUGGGUAGCAAACAGGAUUAGAUACCCUGGUAGUCCACGCUGUAAACUAUGAUCACUCG
This 738-nucleotide ribosomal RNA is filed under the name uncultured organism. RNAcentral's name for it is "bacterial SSU rRNA". It matches the Rfam family "Bacterial small subunit ribosomal RNA", at positions 84 to 819 of the family's 1533-position model. The record is from RNAcentral.